UGGGGAAUUUUGGACAAUGGGCGAAAGCCUGAUCCAGCAAUGCCGCGUGUGUGAAGAAGGCCUUCGGGUUGUAAAGCACUUUUGUCCGGAAAGAAAUCCUUGGCUCUAAUACAGUCGGGGGAUGACGGUACCGGAAGAAUAAGCACCGGCUAACUACGUGCCAGCAGCCGCGGUAAUACGUAGGGUGCAAGCGUUAAUCGGAAUUACUGGGCGUAAAGCGUGCGCAGGCGGUUUGCUAAGACCGAUGUGAAAUCCCCGGGCUCAACCUGGGAACUGCAUUGGUGACUGGCAGGCUAGAGUAUGGCAGAGGGGGGUAGAAUUCCACGUGUAGCAGUGAAAUGCGUAGAGAUGUGGAGGAAUACCGAUGGCGAAGGCAGCCCCUGGGCAAUACUGACGCUCAUGCACGAAAGCGUGGGGAGCAAAACAGGAUUAGAUACCCUGGUAGUCCACGCCCUAAACGAUGUCAACUAGUUGUUGGGGAUUCAUUUCCUUAGUAACUAGCUAACGCGUGAAGUUGACCGCCUGGGGGAGUACGGUCGCAAGAUUAAAACUUAAAUGAAUUAACGGGGUC
This 571-nucleotide ribosomal RNA is filed under the name uncultured bacterium. RNAcentral's name for it is "partial 16S ribosomal RNA". It matches the Rfam family "Bacterial small subunit ribosomal RNA", at positions 355 to 920 of the family's 1533-position model. The record is from RNAcentral.